RNAcentral lists this long non-coding RNA (394 nucleotides) under Gossypium raimondii (Peruvian cotton). RNAcentral's name for it is "long non-coding RNA (GRAI_LNC006556)". The record is from RNAcentral. Lineage: Eukaryota; Viridiplantae; Streptophyta; Magnoliopsida; Malvales; Malvaceae.
AGUGCACAUGGAAGUAUUUGGAGUAGGACCGAUGCAAGUUCUGGUUGCCUCUUUAUCUGCAGCAAUCGAUAAGGAUACAAGCACAGGGAGUUUCAAUGAUAGCAUCCACGAAGAGUUAGUAUUUUAAUUAUUUAGUGAGGCAGUCUUGCUUUUUUUUUUCUUUUUCUUGGUAGGAUCAUACGUGUGGUUGUUAAAAAUUUUAAAUAAUAAUUGAAUAAUAAAUAAGUUUUAAAUGUUUUAAGUAUUUUAAACGAAUAUAAACGAGUUUGUUUAGGAACAUAAAUAAAUUAAAUAAUUUUUUUUAAUAUUUGAUUCUUUUAAUAAAUAAGCCUUAAAAUAUUGUUCAUAUUUAUUGAUUUAAUUUGAUAAGAGAAAAAAGAACAUGAAUCAAAUC